This 330-nucleotide unclassified non-coding RNA is filed under the name soil metagenome. RNAcentral's name for it is "partial contains 5.8S ribosomal RNA, internal transcribed spacer 2, and large subunit ribosomal RNA". The stretch from base 1 to 120 matches the Rfam family "5.8S ribosomal RNA", at positions 35 to 154 of the family's 154-position model. The record is from RNAcentral.
GAUGUAGAACGUAGCGAAAUGCGAUAAGUAAUGUGAAUUGCAGAAUUCAGUGAAUCAUCGAAUCUUUGAACGCACAUUGCGCCCCUUGGUAUUCCGGGGGGCAUGCCUGUUCGAGCGUCAUUUCAACCCUCAAGCUUCUGCUUGGUCUUGGGCCGUGCCGGCAACGGCUGGCCUUAAAACUAGUGGCGGUGCCAUCGAGCUCUACGCGUAGUAAUUCUAUCUCGCGUCUGGGCUUCGGUGGACGCUGGCCAGCAACCCCCAAUUUUCUAUGGUUGACCUCGGAUCAGGUAGGGAUACCCGCUGAACUUAAGCAUAUCAAUAAGCGGAGGA